GACAGAGGCCUCAAGCGUUAGGCGGAAUCACUGGGCUUAAAGCGCGUGUAGGUGGAUUUUUAAGUGCCUUGUGAAAUCCUGCGGCUCAACCGCAGAACUGCUGGGCAUACUGGAAGUCUUGGGCUAUCUAGGGGCAACCGGAACAAGCGGUGGAGCGGUGAAAUGCGUAGAUAUCGCUUGGAACGCCAAAGGUGAAGACAGGUUGCUGGAGAUAUGCCGACACUGAGACGCGAAAGCCAGGGGAGCAAACGGGAUUAGAUACCCCGGUAGUCCUGGCCCUAAACGAUGUCCACUGGAUCGCGGUUCCUUGACGGGAUUCGCGGUCGGAGCAAAAGUGUUAAGUGGACCGCCUGGGAAGUACGGUCGCAAGGCUAAA
This 376-nucleotide ribosomal RNA is filed under the name uncultured bacterium. Its description in RNAcentral is "bacterial SSU rRNA". It matches the Rfam family "Bacterial small subunit ribosomal RNA", at positions 524 to 898 of the family's 1533-position model. The record is from RNAcentral.